This 5261-nucleotide long non-coding RNA is filed under the name Mytilus galloprovincialis (Mediterranean mussel). Lineage: Eukaryota; Metazoa; Mollusca; Bivalvia; Mytilida; Mytilidae. The record is from RNAcentral.
AAUUUUCGUAAAGAAAUUAUCAAUUUUCUUAAAGAACAUGAAAUACUUUAACUAAUUAAACUAAUUAUACCAGUUGUAUUUUAUAAUAUACUAUGUAUUUGUGUUUCACUAUGUAUUAUCCUAUUGUUUGUAAUAAUAUUGUCCUCUUGCACACCUGUAUGUGUCUGAGGGUAUGAAUAAAAUCUUGAAAAAAACCUUCAAUUUAAGCUAAAUUAACUAUUGCAAUAUACACAGCCAAGUUGUAAACACUAUACAUUUUGCUAUAUGGCGAAUUUAGAUUUUCAUUGUAACAACGUAUUUGGAACAAUUUUAAUCUUCCAAAAAAAGUUUUAUGGUUUUAUAGAAAUGAAAGAUUGGAUUUAUUUAUGCUGCAUUUAUUCUUUCAAGGGAAAGCAAUUUUUCAAAUGAUUUAAACCAGGCUAUCAAUUCAAUUUUAAAGUGCUUGGCCUAUUUGAUGUGCAAUUGUAGUUGUUCUUGUGGCCUUAAACAUGAAACCAUUUAGAUUUCAAAUGCUCAUAUUAGUGUUUGUUGUUGUUUAUAUAGUAUAGUAAUAUUAACAAUGUUUACAUAAAUGUGUGUGUGUGUGCAGUUUAGAGAUAUUCUUUUUAUAAUUGAAAGAGCAUAAUAAUGUUAAAAGUUAGUGUAGAUUGUAAAAAGUUGUUGUAGAUAACAAACAUUGGUUGUACAUUUAUAUUAUAAAAAAGUUAUUAUAGAUUAAGUGAAUAAGACUGACAGGGUGUUCUAUUAAACUGUGACACUUUUAUUUUUAUAUUUAAGAAUACUAUACUUGAAUGGAUAGACAACAUUUAUGUUCAGCUUUUCACAUACUAAACUAACUUCUAUGCUUGUUAAGCAAUGAAAAACAAUUUUGAUAUGUUUCUAGUUAACCUUAUCCAUACAAAAGCAAUUGUUUGUUUGUCAGUAGAUUGAUGCUGAAAUAAGUUUAAAAUGUCCCAAAUAAUCUACAUAAAAUGUCUUGUCUUUCUCUGAAAAUUCAUGUCUAUUGUUUUUAUUUUUACAACUGGCAAAAAAAUGCCUUUUCUCCCCUGUUAAAGAAGAAAACAUAUUGUAUAAGUAUGAUUCUUCUUCCUUGGGUAUCACAGCGAUAUAGUUUUUAUCAGUACUGAUGUGCCAUGAAUGAAUCAAUUAAUUUUCCUAUUUAUGUUCACUUACAACAUUGUCUAGGUCAUAAUUUGUUUUAUCUUUGACAUAAUUUUGUAUAUUUUUUUUUAUGAAAAGAAACUGAAUUUUUAUUUAUACAGGAAUACAAAAUGAAAAUCUUUCUAAUUCCUUUUGUUUAGCUCAUUUUGCCUAAAGCACUUUUAAUUCCAGGAAAAUGCUUCUAUCCAGAUAUUUUUUAUGCCCAGUUUAUGGGCAUUAUGUUUUCUGGUCUGCCUCUGUUCGUCUCUCUGUCCUGCUUCAGCAUGUUCAGGUUAAAAUUUUUGGUCACAGUAGUUUUUGAUGAAAUUGAAGUCCAAUAAACUUGAAACUUAGUACACAUGUUCCUUAUAAUAUGGUCUUUCUAAUUUCAAUGGCAAAUUAGGGUUUUUCCCUAAUUUCAUGGUCCAAUGAACAUAGCAAAUGAUAGUACGAUCUGGACAUCCCUGUACUAUGGACACAUUCUUGUUAUUCAUAUUUUUGAAUAAUAUUUUAUAAAUGGCCUAGCAUGUUUAUUGUACCCUGUCAAGUGUGUAAUAGUUGUUAUACCAGUAAAAGUACAGAGAAGAACCAAACAAUAAUAUGAUUAGUAGGCCUUUACUUUGGGUUUUUUCACCAUGAAAUGAAUCCAUUUUGAAAAGUAUUAUUUUUUUUAUGGUUUUGACAAAUGCUUGAUGUGCCAAUUUAUUUUUAUUUUUUUAUAUAUAUAAACAUUAUGUGUAUAAGUUCAUUAUUUAGAUGUCUAGGGUGAAAUAAACCUAUUUCAUCAAUUAUACAUGAAUUAUACAAUAUUUACACAUAAUUUCAUAAAGCACUGUCUUAAAAGAAACAUGUAGUUCUCCACAUUAAAUCCUUCACCUAUAAAUAAUUUGAUAUUAUGAAGAAAUCAUGUCCAAUUUCUUUUUCUUGAAGUCAAAAUUAUCAUGUAGAUUUCAUUCACUAUGAUUCAGAUUGUUAUCAUAUGGCAUAGAAAGUUGAGUUAUCCGGUGCUUGUGUCUGUUUAAUAUAUACUAAGCAAGAUUCAUAUUACAUUAUAUUAUGUUCUUGUCCUGAAUAUACAUUUAAUUUGCCACUGGAUGUUAAACAGAGAUCCAUCUAUCCUACUUCCACAAUAAAAGAAUUUUUUUUUGACAAUGACUGUAAUUUCUAUUUAUUUGAUGUAAUUUCUAUUUAUUUGAAGUCAAAAUUGACAAACAUUGUCCAAAACAUCCACAAAGCUAUGCAUUUAAGCAUUUAAAUGAUGUUUUUAUUAUAAAAUGUUGUUAAUAUUUUUAUAUUUUUCAAAACCUGUAAAUUUUUAUCAGUAUGAUUUUAAUAGUUAUAUUUCAGAUUGCUCUAAUGUUUAUCUGAAUAUAAGAACUUUCAAAUUUUGUUUUCAAUUUUGUUUUCAAUUUUGUUUUCAAUUUUGUUUUCAAUUUUGAUCUUGUAUGAUUAAAGUUGGUUUUCAACUCAACCAUAUUAGGGGAGAUAACUUUCAUAAAGGAAUGUAUAGUGAAUUUACCUACUUUGUUUUAAAUCAAGAAAAAGAAUUCUUUUACACCAAUUUUAUCUUAAAUCAUAUUUCCAAGAACUAACUUGAUCAAAUUUUAUUUUUAACUUCUAUCAUCCAGUUUUUCUUCUAUUUACAAAAAAAUAAAAUUUUCAUGAACAAUCUAUUCACAAUCUGACCAUGAUUGCACAAUCUGUAAGUUAACAAAAGUUCUGAAACUUAUCCCUUUUAUUAUAGUUGAAAAAAAAAUGAUAUAAUCUCAAUUUUGGUGAAGUAUAAAAGAUGUUCUAUUAUUUGAAUUUGUUCCUUAUCCAUGAUUUUAGUUCUACAAUUGGCAAAUUUCAUCGUUUUAAAAUAUCUGUUGAUCAUCUUAUAUUCACUUUAUUUUUAUUUGUAAACAAAUUCUACAAUUUAUCAUUCAUUUUAUACCAUUUGUAUACAUUGCUUAUGUAUUUCAUUUCACAGUUAUAUAGCGUAAAAUAAUAUUUUUAUGCAUUGGAUUUUUGAAGUUUUCUUAAAAAAUUUAAUGAUACAACUGUAUCAGUGAUUGGAUAUCUAUACUGUUAGAGGAUUUUGUAUUUCAAUGUUUUCCAUCCAGCAAAAAUAAAGGAUUAGCAUGAUUAGUAGCUUGUUUAAUUUGAUUAACCUGAAAUAUUUUGAAUAUUUGUAUUUUAACAUUAUUUUGAAUCAAAUGUAAUUAAUACUGCAUUUUGGAUAAUUUUCAAUGAUUUACUACAAUAAACAUGAUAAGACUUAAAUAUAGUUAAUAAGAAAUUAAAUAGGAUUAAGUAAAUAAAAUAUCAAAAUUUAGAUGUAAAUUUUCUUAGACAAGUAUAUUUAAUCCAUGUAACAAUUGGAUAGUUUUGUACAUAUACAUUAUACUGAAAUCAAUUUAAAACCUCAGAAUUGGUUAAAAAAUGUCUUGUGUUGAAAUGCUAGCCAAUAUCUUUUUUUUUUUUUCUAGAAAAGUCAAAAUAUCAAAAGCAAUCAGUGUACUAUGGUCUAGGUUUAAGAAAAGAAAAUUUGAAAGAUUUUUAGAGAAUUUAUAGUCAAGAUUAUACAUGUUUAUGUUGAUAAAUGAUAUUUUUAUACUCCAGUAUGUGUAAAACGGGUUAUUUUUAACCAAUGCUUAGUAUAUAAAGGCAAUGUUGUUUUUACAUUUUGUGUUUUUACAUGUCUUGUUUUACAUGUCGUGCAUUCAGAAACUGUUUAUGAUUUUUGCAUAAAACUACGCACACAAGACAACAGGUGUAUCAUGUGAUCAUGGGGCAGCUGUUUAUUAAUUUUGGAAUAUAUGUUCAGAAAUUGUUUAAUUAAAGAACCUUUCAAAAAAGAUGGAAGAAACCUAAGUGACAUUCACAAGUCACAGAAAAACUUACUGCACAAUGGCAAAAAUGACUGAAAGACAAAACAAGAGUAUACAAUAUUGUCAGACAUUUUUGUGUGAAUUUAUUAAUGUAAUUGUUCAAAACUUGUAAAAAAAUAAACAAGAUUAAUUAUCAUAAUAUUUGUAAAUGCUAUGAGGUAUGUGCAAAUAAUGAUAUAACAAAAAUUCAUUGGAUUUUUAAUUCUCUCGUCUACCACAAAAUGCAAGACAUAGGGAUUACAAUCCAGCGAUGGUGAUGGCAUAAACUAGGAGUACAUCUAUUUCUGUCAGGGUUCAUAUUUCCUUGACCUCAUGUUCAUUGGUCAAUUUUAAUAUUUUGUGGUUUACUCUGUUUCUCGGGAACUAUAAGCUAUAAGACCAAUAUAUUUGGUGUAUGAAAUGAUUGUAAGGUGUACACGUCUGUCUGGCAUGGUUCAUCUCACAGUGCCUUUAUUUUAGUACUGAUAAUGAUAAGUCUUUAUAAUACUUGUAGUAAAACCUUCGUAUUACAGACUAUCAACAUAAAUUAACACGUACAUGUAAAGCAGGCGAGAUAUAUUAGUGUGUGAACUCUUGUUAUUAAGAAAUGUUCCUCAAUUAUAAAAUUAUUUCAAAUUACAUGUAUUUGAAUUGAUAUUAAACAAAGAAAAAUAAUAUAAAACUAUGAAUAGCAUUUUUCUAGUAAUGAAUAUAUGUUUAUUUAUAUUGAUAAGGAGAAUAUUUAAUUGGAUAAACUUUGGAACAAUGGAGUAUAAUGUGUAAAUUCACUGUUUAACUUAGAGAACAGGUACAGUUUUUUAGAUGCUGUAUUAGUUAUAUUUCAUUUUCCCUUUAUGCUUGUUUUAUAUCUGCUUUAAGAAUAAAAAUCACAUAAUACCUUGUUAUGUUGUUAAACAAUUGAGUUGCACAGUAUUUUGAUGUAUACACUUAUUUUUAUCAAGACUUCAACAAAAGCAAUUUUCCAACAGCACCUGCAUAUUGCGCAUAUAUCUCCUAUUUAAAACGAUAUUCCAGAAUCCAGAUCUUGUUUUCCUGCUUACCAAGAUUUCCAAGUAAUGAAGUUGAUGUAGCUGUCCCUUUAAAAUGUUGCAGACACCAUCAUGAGUUGUUUGACAGAUAUGGAAUAUAUUAAGAACAACAUUUUUGCAAUAUCAGAAAACUGUUAUGAUUUAUACUGCAGUAGUUUUUUUUAACACAUCUUAUUACCAUGAUGACUAAUUAUUUUUCUUACUCAUAUUAGAUAAACAC